RNAcentral lists this ribosomal RNA (207 nucleotides) under uncultured Bacillota bacterium. RNAcentral's name for it is "uncultured Firmicutes bacterium partial 16S ribosomal RNA". It matches the Rfam family "Bacterial small subunit ribosomal RNA", at positions 568 to 774 of the family's 1533-position model. The record is from RNAcentral. Lineage: Bacteria; Bacillati; Bacillota.
CGCGUAGGCGGGAACUUAAGUCAGAUGUGAAAACUCCGGGCUCAACUUGGAGACUGCAUUUGAAACUGAGUUUCUUGAGGGCAGGAGAGGAAAGUGGAAUUCCUAGUGUAGCGGUGAAAUGCGUAGAUAUUAGGAGGAACACCAGUGGCGAAGGCGACUUUCUGGACUGAACCUGACGCUGAGGCGCGAAAGCAUGGGGAGCAAACG